AUUGAACGCUGGCGGCAUGCCUUACACAUGCAAGUCGAACGGCAGCACGGACUUCGGUCUGGUGGCGAGUGGCGAACGGGUGAGUAAUGUAUCGGAACGUACCUUUCAGUGGGGGAUAACGUAGCGAAAGUUACGCUAAUACCGCAUAUUCUGUGAGCAGGAAAGCAGGGGAUCGCAAGACCUUGCGCUGAUUGAGCGGCCGAUAUCAGAUUAGCUAGUUGGUGGGGUAAGGGCCUACCAAGGCGACGAUCAGUAGUUGGUCUGAGAGGACGACCAGCCACACUGGGACUGAGACACGGCCCAGACUCCUACGGGAGGCAGCAGUGGGGAAUUUUGGACAAUGGGCGCAAGCCUGAUCCAGCAAUGCCGCGUGAGUGAAGAAGGCCUCGGUUGUAAGUACGUCUUUCUAGUCGAGAAG
RNAcentral lists this ribosomal RNA (418 nucleotides) under uncultured bacterium. RNAcentral describes it as "bacterial SSU rRNA". It matches the Rfam family "Bacterial small subunit ribosomal RNA", at positions 30 to 449 of the family's 1533-position model. The record is from RNAcentral.